This 254-nucleotide ribosomal RNA is filed under the name uncultured bacterium. RNAcentral describes it as "partial 16S ribosomal RNA". It matches the Rfam family "Bacterial small subunit ribosomal RNA", at positions 524 to 776 of the family's 1533-position model. The record is from RNAcentral.
UACGUAGGGUGCAAGCGUUGUCCGGAAUUAUUGGGCGUAAAGAGCUCGUAGGCGGCUUGUCGCGUCGACUGUGAAAUCCCGCGGCUCAACUGCGGGUCUGCAGUCGAUACGGGCAGGCUAGAGUUCGGUAGGGGAGACUGGAAUUCCUGGUGUAGCGGUGAAAUGCGCAGAUAUCAGGAGGAACACCGGUGGCGAAGGCGGGUCUCUGGGCCGAUACUGACGCUGAGGCGCGAAAGCCAGGGGGAGCGAACGGG